UCGCCCUUCUGGAGUUUGGCAGAGGGGGGUGGAAUUCCACGUGUAGCAGUGAAAUGCGUAGAGAUGUGGAGGAACACCAAUGGCGAAGGCAGCCCCCUGGGUCGAUACUGACGCUCAUGCACGAAAGCGUGGGUAGCAAACAGGAUUAGAUACCCUGGUAGUCCACGCCCUAAACGAUGUCAACUAGGUGUUGGGAGGGUAAAACCUUUUAGUGCCGUAGCUAAC
Molecule: ribosomal RNA, 225 nt
Filed under: uncultured Candidatus Accumulibacter sp.
Lineage: Bacteria; Pseudomonadati; Pseudomonadota; Betaproteobacteria
Description: partial 16S ribosomal RNA
Rfam family: Bacterial small subunit ribosomal RNA
Source: RNAcentral